This 465-nucleotide ribosomal RNA is filed under the name uncultured bacterium. RNAcentral describes it as "partial 16S ribosomal RNA". It matches the Rfam family "Bacterial small subunit ribosomal RNA", at positions 339 to 795 of the family's 1533-position model. The record is from RNAcentral.
CUACGGGGGGCUGCAGUGAGGAAUUUUGCGCAAUGGGGGCAACCCUGACGCAGCAACGCCGCGUGAGUGAAGAAGGCCUUUGGGUCGUAAAGCUCUGUCAACUGGGAAGAAGUUACGAUUAUUUAAUAGAUAGUUGUAUUGACGGUACCAGUGGAGGAAGCGCCGGCUAACUCCGUGCCAGCAGCCGCGGUAACACGGGGGGCGCAAGCGUUAUUCGGAAUUAUUGGGCGUAAAGGGCGCGUAGGCGGUUUUGCCGGUCAGAUGUGAAAGCCCGGGGCUCAACCCUGGACGUGCAUUUGAAACAGCAAGACUUGAGUACGGGAGAGGAAAGCGGAAUUCCUGGUGUAGAGGUGAAAUUCGUAGAUAUCAGGAGGAAUACCGAUGGCGAAGGCAGCUUUCUGGACCGAUACUGACGCUGAGGCGCGAAGGCGUGGGGAGCGAACGGGAUUAGAUACCCGGGUAGUC